Long non-coding RNA from Tachysurus vachellii, 276 nucleotides. RefSeq lists it as uncharacterized. Lineage: Eukaryota; Metazoa; Chordata; Actinopteri; Siluriformes; Bagridae. The record is from RefSeq and is a predicted model, not a curated record. The transcript is spliced from 3 exons.
AAUAUUUUCACUGCAGUUGAUUCAGCCAGUCUGUGCUAAAUAAUGCUUCAAAUGUUUGUCAAUAGUUUGGUUUGGACCCUGAACCAUUGGUACCUGGUGGCCCUUCUUCUGCCACUGGUGAUACUGGUCAUCAUCAUCUGUAUGCUCAGAAAGAAAUGUGAGUUAGAGAAUCAAACCAGGAUCAGAGAGAGGAGCAAUGACACCACUGUUCCCACAGCUAAGAAUAAGCCCACUUGUUCUGCUGAAGACUCGAUUAUAUACAGCACUGUGGCUACA